UAACAACAGUUAUUAUUUCUGAUCAUCACUGCAUUCUUUCUCUGCACUAGAAAUGAAUUAUAACAACGAAAACAAUGCUUCCCAUGCUGUUCUUUUUGAAGCCCUUGCUCUGGUAAUGCAUCUUGAUGCUGAAAAGGAGGUGACAUGUUAUCAGUUUUGAAGCGUAUUGAAAUGGACCAGGCGAACCAAAUAUAUCGUAUAUAUGUUCAAGAUAUUACAGAGCACCUGAGCUUAUUUUUGGAGCAACUGAAUAUACUACAGCUAGUGAUGUUUGGUCUGUGGGUUGUGUUAUGGCUGAACUGUUGCUUGGACAG
RNAcentral lists this long non-coding RNA (314 nucleotides) under Lathyrus oleraceus (garden pea). RNAcentral describes it as "Pisum sativum (pea) long non-coding RNA (PSAT_LNC033296)". Lineage: Eukaryota; Viridiplantae; Streptophyta; Magnoliopsida; Fabales; Fabaceae. The record is from RNAcentral.